CCUGAGAUCAUGACCUGAGCCGAAGGCAGAGGCUUUAACCCAAUGAGCCACCCAGGCGCCCCUCCCUAGGUGAUUCUAAUGGGCAACACUAACUUGGAGCACUGGGGAUGGGAGGCAUUCUCUGCAGGUGACAGAGAGAUGAUUUCUGGGUGCCCACUCUUGGUGCAGUAGACUACAUGCAGGUCCUUGGUGCCCUCCAACCCCCAUCCUCUGUAGGCGUGGUCCUCUCCUGUUGCCCUCUGCUGCCCAGAGUCUUGCAGCCAACGAGGUGCAUUCCUGUCUGUAGCAGGUGCACCUGGAGUUCGCUCUGUGGCCGCAGUUGGCCGGCCUGCUCUUCUUUGCACCUUGUAGGUUCUGGAUAGUGCAGUCGUGGCUAGAGUCAUCUCCUUUCUUCAGCCCCAUGCUUUCUCUUUCCCUACACAGUCCCUUAUUCCUGCUUCGGGUGCUCUCUAUUGGCCCACUCCGAUUCUCCCCAGGACUCCAGAUUCACAGAGCUACCCCUAUCUCUAGUAGCCUGGCGGUUUAACCUUGAACAUCAGCAGUACAGACAUAGGGAACGGGAGUCUCGUGGCUUUGAAAUAAUACUUCAUUACGGUUGUUUUUGAUCAGUGACAUUUUCCUCUUUAGGCCAGCAUUUGCUAGAUUUUAUCUUUUACACCUCCUGGUUCCUUUCCCCCUGGUUUAUAGCAUGGUGAGCUGUUUCCUGUUUCCUAUUUUCUGUACAAUCAGCUCUAUCUUUGUUUUUAUCAGCCCCUGUCCACAAGGUGUUGGGGAGCAGAGGGAGGGAGUGGAGAAGGGGAGGGGUAUUUUGAGACAAAUUACUGUCAAACCCACGCCCCAAGAUUGUUAUCUUUUCCCAGUUGGUCUGGUUAUGGAGCCCAGAGCUGGCUCUGUGUUGACCAGCUUGGGAAGCACAAGGGCUCCGAGGUGACCUUCUAGCUCCGGAACCGAGCUCAGACUCUGAUUGACGAGUCCAACUAGCAAUUCUCAGUUCCCGCUGCACGGUGGAAUCACCUGUCCCCCCUGUCCGAUUAAGUCAGUCUUCGAGGGUUAGGCUUAGGUGUUUCUAAACACUCCCAGUUGAUUAUUAUGUGUAGCCAGGGAUGAGAGCCACUCUGCCGCCCAGCCCUCCUCCAAGGUGUGGGGGAGGAUUUAUUGCCUGGGUUAAAAUAACAUUUUGUUCUGUGACUGGAAGAGAAAAGUAAAAAGGUCAUUUGUUUUUAGGUUUUGGCCAGAGAUUCUUGAAAAGGAGACGAUUAUGUUCUUCCAAGGCCAUCUUUGCUCUUUUUUUUUAAGUUAUCAUCUCCUAUCCCAGCUCAUGCUGUUUGAAGUUUAUCUGCUCCAAGUACAGGCAGAAUUCUGCAAACCCUUGUUUUCCCCUGGGCAGUUCAUAAUGGUUUGUAGGAGAGCUCUUCUCUGUGUGAGGCUGGGGGCUGGUGUUGGGAGGGGAUUGGGAAGGGGGGAGCCCCUGCCACUGUGCGCUCACUUGCCUUUCCCCGGAGAAGGCAGCUCAAGUCUCCAUCUUCCCAGGUGGAGCCCUGGUCCCUACAUGCAGCAGCAUCACCUGGGCGCUUGUCAGAAGUGCACAUCCUCAGUCCCCACCCCAGACCCACCCACCUAUCAGAAACUCUGGGGUGGAGCCCAUAAUCUGUGUCCUAGCAAACCUUCUAGAAGAUUCUGACGCACCCCAAGAGUUUGAGACCCAGCCAGUAGCUGAGAUGGGGCUUGAGAAUUUGAUUUCUGACAACUUCCCAGUGAUGCUAGUCUGGGGACCUCACUUGGAGAACCACUGGCUUAGUGAUGAGCAGGAUGUGGGAAGGAAGCUUCUGCCGCCUUCAACCUAAGUCACGAUCUCCGUCAAGCCCUAAUAGUGGCGGGUUCUGCUGAACUUGUCUCCCCCACACCAGUCCUAAGAAGUAGUUUCUGUGGUGCCGUGUGCCUAGUCCCACCCUUCACAGAUUCACGUGCAUUGGGAACAGUCCUUUAAAUAAUCCAGAUGGGCUUUUUUUUUUUUCCUUCUCCUCCCCCACCUUUUUGGUUUGGAAAAGUUUUGAUCUGCUUUUGUUUUUCCAGAUUCUGUGUUUUUGUUUUGUUUUGUUUUGAGAUGGGGGUUCACUCAUCAGAUCUUCCUCUUAUUUGAGUUACCUUGGAGUUCCUCAUUUUAUUUCAUUUUUGAUUUCUCAUUUUAUCAGCCUCAGUUUCCCAAAGUAAAAAGUAAACUGCUUCCUCAUAGGCGUACCAUGUUACUUAUUAAAUAUCAGAUGGAGAGUUCCUGUCACUUAGUAAACAUGUAAUAAACGUCAGUUUCGUCCUCCCUGGCUGACUCCGGGAGGAGAUGAGCACGAACUGCCCCACCCUCAUGGCAGACCAGUAUGAAAUUAGGCAAAGGGAAAAUUAGGCAAAGAGAAAAGCCUCUGAGAAGUGGGGAGCAGCCCAGGGAAUGUGGGAAAAUGGAGCAGGGCUUCCCCAGGAGGACACUGUUGGUUAGAGACCAAGGCUAGACGUAGUUGUUGCCGACUGAAGCUGGGUACAGAGUGAGUGUCCCAGAGGACAUUAGAGGAGUGAGCAGUUUGCCUGAGGGUAGAGGUGAGAAGUGAUGGUGAAACUGAGCCUCCUUCAGACAGGCUGCAGCAAGGACCCGGCCAGCUCAGUGCCAGGCGUGAUUGUCUUGGGUGAGCACGGAAAGUCUGGAGACUCAGGGUUCUGGACAGAACCAUUAGGCUGCCUGGUGGCCUCUAGUUAUUUACAGGAAAUGUUGACUUUGGGGAACUUAGAAGUACCCUACUUCUUCUCAGCUAGGACAGGUAGGACCAUUGCUGCAUCUAGCUAUGACCUGGAGAGGGGCUGGGUCCUCUUCCGUGAUUCUGAUUUUGCCAUAAGAGAGGGGCCAUCGUCUUGGCAAGGGUGGUCGGACAGCGUCUGCAUUAGAGACUAAAGAGAAAGCAAAGAUUCUCAGUUCCUUUCCAGGAACGGUUGUCAUGUAUCUCAGAGACAGAAGGUGAAACCUGUCCAGUGGUGGGGUGUUUAUUUCACCGAGGUCAUUUUCAGCUCCACAGCAAGGGGAUCAUUUUUUUAAAAAAAUUAAAUUCAAUCAGUUAACAUACAGUGUAUUAUUAGUUUCAGAGGUAGAAUUCUGUGAUUCAUCAGUAGCAAGGGGGGCGGGGAUCAUUAAUGGCUCUGGCCAGUGGAGUGAGGGGCCUUCUAGCUAAGGAGUCUCCCAUUUAUCUGGUGAUAGAGCGGUUUUCUGCCUGGACUGGAGGCCGAGGACCCCCUCCCCCUCAAUGUCGAUUCUCUCCAGAUUCCCCCCUCCCAUGGCGGGUGGGAGGAGUGAUAAGGUGGAGUUGUAGCCCAGCUGCAGAGGGUCCUGGUGGGGACUGCUGGGAGCAGUUUUAUCGGAAACCACAGAACCCCAAAGCAAGCUGAGAGAGCUGAAGUCAGCUUUAUCAAGGAGUGCCAGAGACGCAGAAGGCCCGCCCGAGGAAAUGGCUA
Molecule: long non-coding RNA, 3489 nt
Organism: Mustela erminea (ermine)
Lineage: Eukaryota; Metazoa; Chordata; Mammalia; Carnivora; Mustelidae
Exons: 2
Source: RefSeq, a predicted model, not a curated record